This 1077-nucleotide long non-coding RNA is filed under the name Coffea arabica (coffee). RNAcentral's name for it is "long non-coding RNA (CARA_LNC003820)". Lineage: Eukaryota; Viridiplantae; Streptophyta; Magnoliopsida; Gentianales; Rubiaceae. The record is from RNAcentral.
AUUAUUCCUCUUUAGGUUAAUUCAAGUGGAUCGUGAUGAAGCUUGAAGCAUUAGUGAUGGUAAUUCUGCUAAAAGCUUUAAGAUUUAUUUACGCCACUCAAAAUGGGUUCGAAUUGAACAGCAAGAGGUAGCAUGUUUAGAUUUGAUUAUUUAAUCUAAGAUAUAUAAUUUUGUCAACAAACACAGUGAAAGCAGAUUUUUCCUUUCUUUCAAAUUUUGUUGUUCUUUCAUAAAUAGCUAAAUGUGAAAAAUCUUCUUCGUGUAGUUCAUUUUUUUCUUUUCUUUCACAUUUUCUGAAUUUGUUGUCUCACGCUUUGCCAGUCAUUUUCUUGAUAUUCAAGGCAUACAAUGAUGCUUGGCAUAGAAGAUUAUUAACCAUGUGGCUGAAAUUGUUGGAGACAAAUCAAAUGCCUAAAUGGCAAUUUGUUUGGAUACAGUAUGCAAUCAUAGUGGUUUGUUUUAAUAAGUUCUUAUUUGAUGGGAUUAUCAUGGAUGUAGGAUAAUGCUUGACUGCCAUUAGCAGAUUCUGAUAAUAAUUUUGCUUUGAUCAAAAUCUGAAUUUUUUUUUUAAUGAAUUUUAACUGUUCCUUUUUGCCCCUGGGAUUUUUUUUUUUGCUGGCUCUCCGUAAUUGCUUUCUACAUUUAUGUCAUAUAUGUUUUAACUUUUCAAUUCCCCAGACUAGAAACUUGCACAAUGUUCUCUGAAAGUUCUUUUUCUUCUUGUACCUGACUUGAUCAGAACUAAGGAUUACAGGCGAAGUUUAGUCUCUUAGUUUCAUUGGAGGAGUAUUGUUGAUUGCAUGUUGAUAUUGGAGUAUUUUGUGGUGAAAACCUUAUGGCAGAAGAAGUUAUUUGAGAAUUUGAGGUGCCCAAAAAGCACUACGAAACAAGAGUAUAGUUAGCUGUUCAAAGUAUAGGUACUAGAGUACUUUUGGAUCAAUGUAACUUUUUAUUGUAUAUCUUGUUUCCUCCAAACGUGAUUGAUAUUUACAUUACUAAUGUACUUUUGGAUCAAUAUAACUUUAGUUCUAUGUCUUAUUUCCUUUGGAUAAGAUUGAAAUUUACAUUCAUAGAGCC